UACGAAGGGGGCUAGCGUUGCUCGGAAUUACUGGGCGUAAAGCGCACGUAGGCGGCUCUUUAAGUCGGGGGUGAAAUCCUGGAGCUCAACUCCAGAACUGCCUUCGAUACUGAAGAGCUUGAGUCCGGGAGAGGUGAGUGGAACUGCGAGUGUAGAGGUGAAAUUCGUAGAUAUCGUCAAGAACACCUAUUGCGAAGGCAGCUAACUAAGCUUAAACUGACGCUGAGGCACGAAAGUGUGGGGAUCAAACAGG
Molecule: ribosomal RNA, 253 nt
Filed under: uncultured bacterium
Lineage: Bacteria
Description: partial 16S ribosomal RNA
Rfam family: Bacterial small subunit ribosomal RNA
Source: RNAcentral